Molecule: ribosomal RNA, 253 nt
Filed under: uncultured bacterium
Lineage: Bacteria
Description: partial 16S ribosomal RNA
Rfam family: Bacterial small subunit ribosomal RNA
Source: RNAcentral
UACGUAGGGAGCAAGCGUUGUUCGGAUUUACUGGGCGUAAAGGGCGCGUAGGCGGCCUGUUAAGUCGAACGUGAAAUCCCCGGGCUCAACCCGGGAACUGCGUCCGAUACUGGCAGGCUUGAAUCCGGGAGAGGGAUGUGGAAUUCCAGGUGUAGCGGUGAAAUGCGUAGAUAUCUGGAGGAACACCGGUGGCGAAGGCGGCAUCCUGGACCGGUAUUGACGCUGAGGCGCGAAAGCCAGGGGAGCAAACGGG